Molecule: long non-coding RNA, 1699 nt
Organism: Oreochromis aureus
Lineage: Eukaryota; Metazoa; Chordata; Actinopteri; Cichliformes; Cichlidae
Exons: 5
Source: RefSeq, a predicted model, not a curated record
AAUACAGAAGAAGAAAAUUGCACGUCUGAUUUAUUUGCAGUGUCCACAAAAAACAGAAGAACCAUUCUUAGGUUACAGUUAGAUGCCACACUUUGAUGCUUGCUGUUUGGUACAACAUAACUUUGUACUAACUUUGAAGCAUUAGAUAAAUGUUAGCCCAGACACAAAGGUGCCAGGCUUUUUCUGAGAGCUUUCAUACACUCAAAAAAAUGAAUGAGGUGGAUUGUUCAGUGUAUAUUAAUUAUUUAUUUUCAUUUUACUUAAAAUAUAUGUUUUUGUUAAGUUAACAUGUGUUUUUCUAAUCAAGUCUACGUAAUUGUGUCUAUUAUUCACUGUACAUAAUACUAAUGUGUUACUUGAUGGCAUGACAUUUAAGUUAAGUCAAUUAGGAUCGAUAUACUUUGUAUAUCCACUAGGUGGCAGUAAUGCAAAAACAGUUGUAAUGAAACCGCGAAGAACAACAAGGUUUCACGGCUUGGGCCUGCUCAUGAGCAAGACUUCAAAUUUAACUUAAAAACGUUGUUUUGGCGCCAAGCUGCUGUUUCUUUGAGAGAUCCUGCCUUUACCUGCUCCCUCCUAUACUGAUGUGGUGUAUGUGGUACUGCUGAGCUUGUAUGUGAUCUGAACCAUUGUAAAGGUUGCAGUUCAAGGGCCUGAGGUGGAAGCAGAAUUUGUGAGGAUUACUACUGCUCCACUUGUUCCAAGGCUUUUUGCACAACUUGACCAAUACACUGACCGGCUCAUAAAAGUCUUCAAGAAAAAAGGAGGCGCUGCAGUGAAGUAAAUUAGACAAAUUUUGGCCCCACCCACACAGGUGCAUUAUUCUGUUGGUAGCAAAAUAUUAUGGCUAAUAAGAUCACUUUCAAAUUUAAACAGCUAGUGUAUGGUAGCUGCACAGUGUACUUACAUUUAUAUUAAGCAAGACAAAGUUUGGUACUCAAAACUUUGGAAAAUUAAAAUUACCUAAACAUAAGUAAAAUCUGAUCCCUCAAUUUCGGGUUAAACCAUAAGUGAAUGUUUUUAUGUUAAAGAUCAGUUUUUGAAUGCAAAAACGAUGAUGUAUUAGUUUGUCUAUACCUCCAUUAUGGACAUAUAUAAUGUGGUGGAAACCCUGCCCAACAGGUUAACUAUUCAUGUCCAUGUGAUGAUUAGUUGGUCUUGUGUACAUGUCUAUCUGUGCAGUGAAUAUGUCAUUCAUUUUGCGUAUAAUGUGAGUUUGUGUCAUCCUAAAGUAUAUCUGUUUUCUCUUCCUGUAUCUCUGCCACUCUCUACGGAAGGAAACUAUUGAAAAGGGGAGGGAGUGUGUCCUCAGGGCACUACCUUUUUACCUGAAUGAAGACCCAAGUAUCCUCUUCAAAGAAUAAUUGCUACAGCUACAGCUGUUCAGAGGGAGCUGGAACAAAUUACCCUUGCUGUCUUCACCAUCGAAAAAGCUGAUGUCAGCACUCCUCCAGCCGAUGUGGGUAUAACCAUCUAGGGUGUUCUGCAUGACCUGGAAAACAUGGCCUUUGAAGUACUUCAGAAGCUCUUCCUUCAUCUGUAUGUCAGCAGACUCUUGACCAAGGUACAGAUGCUCAAGAAUAAACUGAAUGAAUAAGCCAACCCUUAAUUUGGAUGAUGAAUGUUCUGUCAGAUGGACGGAAGUUUUUCAGAGGCUGAAUGGGAAUAAAACGGUAAUUUGUUGAAAAUGACAGAUAAA